UUAGAGAUUACUCCUACGGGAGGCAGCAGUGGGGAAUAUUGGACAAUGGGCGCAAGCCUGAUCCAGCAAUACCGCGUGUGUGAAGAAGGCCUGAGGGUUGUAAAGCACUUUCAAUGGGGAGGAAAAAGGCAAGCCCAAUACGCUUGCCCUUGACAUUACCUUUAGAAGAAGCACCGGCUAACUCCGUGCCAGCAGCCGCGGUAAUAAU
RNAcentral lists this ribosomal RNA (208 nucleotides) under uncultured bacterium. RNAcentral's name for it is "partial 16S ribosomal RNA". It matches the Rfam family "Bacterial small subunit ribosomal RNA", at positions 320 to 526 of the family's 1533-position model. The record is from RNAcentral.